This 513-nucleotide long non-coding RNA is filed under the name Solanum tuberosum (potato). RNAcentral's name for it is "long non-coding RNA (STUB_LNC010148)". Lineage: Eukaryota; Viridiplantae; Streptophyta; Magnoliopsida; Solanales; Solanaceae. The record is from RNAcentral.
AGAAACAAAAGGCUAAUAGUGAAAAUGAAUACUUAGCUUACCGUGCAACUUGAGUGUGCUCUUUUCUGUCUCUAAAAGGUACAUACAGCCAUACGCGAGAGAAGGCGAGAGAUGGAUUAAACCUAAAGCACUGUUACAUGUCUAUUCCAAAUAUCAAAAGAAUCAUAUUUGGAUUCAACAAAUAACAAAAACAAUAAAAUUAAAUCCCAAAAACAUGCAAACACACAAAUAAUUAAAAAUGUCAUGUUAUGGCAUGGUAUUGAAGUAGUUGAAUUCUUCAGGCUACUUUUAUGAGAAAUUAUGGUGUAUAUUUUUUAACUGCGAAUUUUCCAACUGCAACAACAAUAAGUCAGUGUAGUCUCACCUCUAUCUUGUGGAGGUAAAGAGGCGAUUUUCAAUAGACCCUAAGAAAUUUAAACAUUGAAGCUCGGAUUUGUAAUACGAUAAGAGAGAUUGGAAUCACCGCCAUGACUGCAAGCACCGGUUGCAGGAUAACCUUCCAUCCGGGUUGCC